This is a long non-coding RNA of Rhagoletis zephyria (snowberry fruit fly), 252 nucleotides long. RefSeq lists it as uncharacterized. NCBI's taxonomy places the organism in Eukaryota, Metazoa, Arthropoda, Insecta, Diptera, Tephritidae. The record is from RefSeq and is a predicted model, not a curated record.
UCUUCCUCUCAACUAAGAUUUUCUAGCUUCUUUAGUGUAUACAACUGGUUUAUCUUACUUUGGCAUUAGACUUUUGUUAUAGGAAUGUUUUUCUAAUGCUAAUGCUAAAUGGGAAAAAUUUAAAAGAAUAGCCCCUUUUUUGGCACUUUUAUUUUUUUAUUUGGCACAUUUUGGCACUUUUUUAUCCUCAAUAUGGCACCUAAUAGCCAAGGAUAGUUGACAGCCCUGGUUACAAGAUUUCUGCUGAGUUUU